RNAcentral lists this unclassified non-coding RNA (213 nucleotides) under plant metagenome. Its description in RNAcentral is "partial contains small subunit ribosomal RNA, internal transcribed spacer 1, and 5.8S ribosomal RNA". The record is from RNAcentral.
UUUCCGUAGGUGAACCUGCGGAAGGAUCAUUCAUAAUAAGAGUUUUAUGGCACUUUUUUAAAUCCAUAUCCACCUUGUGUGCAAUGUCAGGGUUGAUUUUUCUCUCGAGAGGAUCAACCCCAAACAUCAACUAUAUCUCAACUCUUUGUCUGAAAAAUAUUAUGAAUAAAACAAUUCAAAAUACAACUUUCAACAACGGAUCUCUUGGCUCUC